UGGGUGUUAUACAUUUUCUUGAGAGGCAUUAGCGAUGGAAAUCCGCUCUCAAUUAACAAAUUGUGUGGUGGUGCUGUGCUGUCCGUGUCUGGGAUUAUUUUGUGUUUCUUUUUGAGUAAAAGUUAAACAAACGUUGGCUGCGAUGAGGGGAAAGCUAUAAAAUGCAUUAAUAAAAAUGAACUCUCACAUGAGGAAAGCUGAAGGGGCAUUGAGAAGGCAUCCAGGCAUCUUGCAGCUUCUUUGAACUCCCUCUUGUAAGGAUUCCCUUGCCUCUCUGAUGUCACACUGGAGACUUGAAGGUCUAUCAUCCUGUUUGAUUACAGAACCACAUACAAGUAGAUACAGAAGCUGUAAGGAAGCAGCAAGAAGGAGAAGAACUCUAGGGCUGAAACAGAAGUGGUGGUAGGGUAAGACGUCAUCCUGGUAUCUUGUGAAAUGAACAUUAAGAUUCUUGUCCACUGUUGAGAUAGCCCUUCCUAAAUGAUGUCCACAUAAUCCUGAACUGGACAAAGUGGUACUGAAGAUGAACGAUUGCAGGUUAAAAACCAGGAAGACAGGGAAUUCUACGGAAGCGGCACAACAUAAGCCUAUUAUCAUCAGCCAUACAACUUGUGCAUCUGCAGCCUGAAUAUGGAGUACAGACCACAGUGAACUGCAAGGAAAAUGUCUUCUCCCGCACUGUAACUGUCAGUUAGCUCUUCAGUUUUCCACUGUUCUAAAUAAACCACCUCACAUGG
Molecule: long non-coding RNA, 737 nt
Organism: Protopterus annectens (West African lungfish)
Lineage: Eukaryota; Metazoa; Chordata; Ceratodontiformes; Protopteridae
Exons: 4
Source: RefSeq, a predicted model, not a curated record